CUAUUUGGCUCUCCCUUUUGUAGAAAUCUACCACUCUUACAUUAAAUUGUUUUAUUGGGACACGAAAAAUGAAAUAUGAAGAGGAAAUUCAUACGAGCACAAGCAAUCUCCUUUGCUGACAGCUGAAUUAUUACAAGGAUUAUAUAAAAAGACAUCCUCACAUAAAAUUAUUACUAAUAUAUAUUUAUAUCUAUCCACCCAGCAGAAGCCAGAACAAGGAACAGAGCUGCUUCUGUCUCUUAAGACAACAUUAUUUUCUCCCUCCAUCUAAAUCUUGCCCUUAUUAUAUAUAAUAGAGCAUUCUGUUCAUCCAUUGAGCCUUAUUUUUGUCCUAUUCUAUGUAGUUUUCCCUAAUUCUUGACCAAUGUCUGUCCUUUUCCCUUCUUUAUUGUGUCUGCAACUGUUUUCUUUACCAAAAACAUCCAAAACACCAUUAAUGUGAGCGAGAUUAGAAGUGAGGAACACGUCAUGUGCGUUGCUCUAUCUCAAUAUGUCCAUUCCUGAGGCAGACCCAUCUCUUGGUUCUCUGCCGGCACCGUCCGGGAAUGGCUAUUGUUCUGGAAUUGCAGGCCAUACAUCACAUCACCCAUUGAAGCAUCUACAGUGACAAUUGUAUUUAAAAAAAGAUUAAAAAAUAUAUAUAUUAUGAAGUAACAAAGUGCUACUGUUCUCCGUUUAAUAUGCUAACAAAACCACUUUUAAGUCUUAAUAUUGAAGCAAAAAAGGCCUAAUUGCAAUUUGGUUAAAGAAAAUUAAGGUACCAUGUUGAACAGGGAAAGUGGGCUUAUUGGAUAUUGAUUCAGAGCCCAUUUUGUCGAAGUGAAGUUUUAGGGCUUGAACCACUCUUGCUGGUAUAAGAACGGUGGAACAGCCUGCUCCAAGCAAAAUCAAGAGCAUAUCAGUUCAACUGUACUUUUCUUCUCCAUUUUAAAUUGCUUGUAAUAAAGAUAUUGCACAACUAGUUACUCAAAAGGAUGUCAAUUAAUUUCUUCCCAGUAGUUAGCUGAAAGCAAUGGGGAAGGACCAAACAACUAGUGGACCAUCUAUGGAGGAAGAUUCCAGUGCACACUUGUCAAACUUAAUUUGGCCACUGCCAAAGUUAAAAAUUUAACCAAAGAUAAAUAGGAAUCUUGCACCUUGAACCAAAUUUGGAUUCCACAAAAUCAAAAUCAAACGAACAUAAAAUCCAAACCUAAUCUAGAGGAAUAUGUGAUAGGAGAUGCACCACUCAAGAAGCUAACAAAUCCCAAAAAAAUCCGCUGAACCAGAAAAACCAAUGAAAGAGACCAACUUUCUUAGCCAAAAGGAAACCUUAAGAUGACCCAGAAUCACAGAAAACUUUAUAUAGCAAUUACCUCGUUUCUUGCUUGACUCGCAAGUAUUACCAAUUCCUCUGGGCAAGAAUACCCCUGUCCCACAAGAACCACUUCUUGAACCGGACUUCCCAAGGAAAAAUGCUGUCAUCUCUGAACCGGUUCUCUGUUGCUGUUGCAGAUUAGCCCAUGAACCUUUUUGUCCAUUACCAAAUCCACCACAAGUUCUCCCUUUGCUUUGAUGAAAUUGUCUGGCUUGUUGUUUAUCAAGCUCAAGGUGAUUCAACCCUUUGGCUUGCUUUCUCCAAUACAGAGACUCCUGCUUUUGCUUCAUAAUCUGCUCUUGCUUAAGCUUAUAGAACUGCAAAAUAAACCACCAAGAUUAGCAAAGAAGUAAAUUAAGUGCCCUGUAAAUAUGAAAUCAGGUAUAAGGCACUUGCUUGAAUAGCCCGUAUUUGGUAAUCAAUUAGAGCUUGCUUAGAACCAAUCUCAAUAUUCCGGUUUCUGGGUUUCCUCAUGGCUGAAGGUGCCGAAGCGGGUUCAAGAGAGGUGCUUACAAAUCUUUCACUAUCGUUAUACCCGAGCUUUUCUCUAUUUAUCUUCAAGUUCUCAAACUUCCCUAUCAUGUUUACCUCUUCUUGGCUCGCCCCGAGCCGAAACCGUUUCGUUGAUUGAGGUGAACCGGCCAAACUCCAUGCCUAGAAACAAGAGCAUUAAACCCCAAAUCAGAAGCUGAACAUAAAUGCAAACAUGCAUCAAUCUCAAAGACAGGGUAAUACCUCAUUUUCAUGUCUGCUCUCAUCAUCUUGGAGCGUGUAGUGAGACAUUUGGCGAGUCAACUCAGAAAUGUAAUCGUCGUCUUGGUCACUCUCCGACUGACUUGAACCAAGUUCUGACCCAACAGGUGAGCUCAGAGCAGAACCAAAAUCAGAGGAACUAAAGCAAGAAGACCAGGUUAGGUUAAGGUGUUUGUUGUUGUUCCCUGAGAGAAUAUCAUCAGUGAAAAACUGAGACUGAGGAGGUGGAAGCAAUGAUGAAUCUCUGUUGUGUAGUUCAAUGGCCAUAAUAAAGAAAAUUGAGUUUGCUCAAUGAAGAGAAGCAAGGUUAGGAUUUUAAUGAUUUGCUAUUAUAAUCUGCCUAAAGAGAGACACGAAGAAAUCUUCCCCCAUCUAAGGUUUAUAUAGAAAAGAAAGUAUGAUAGAGUGGUGGGUCUCUCCUCUAGCUAGGGUUGUGUAACUGUAUCUGUAACUAUAACUAUAACUAUGUGUUUUGAUUGGGUACUUUCUAGUAGUUGGACAAGGUAGAAUUUAUUUUGCAACCCAGCUGCCAAGUGCCAAUUGUCGGAGGUUGCAUCCGUCUGAGACUCGUUGGGAUUUUUUAAUUGUAUUGAUAAAGACAGAUGGCAAGAUUGUAUUCCAUUUGGUAUAGUUCAUUUUUACAAGAGUUUACGUUAGUCG
Molecule: unclassified non-coding RNA, 2770 nt
Filed under: Hevea brasiliensis (rubber tree)
Lineage: Eukaryota; Viridiplantae; Streptophyta; Magnoliopsida; Malpighiales; Euphorbiaceae
Source: RNAcentral